Felis catus (domestic cat) is the source of this 72-nucleotide transfer RNA. It matches the Rfam family "tRNA". From Rfam's summary of the family: Transfer RNA (tRNA) molecules are approximately 80 nucleotides in length. NCBI's taxonomy places the organism in Eukaryota, Metazoa, Chordata, Mammalia, Carnivora, Felidae. The record is from Rfam.
UCCUGGCUGGCUCAGUCAGAAGAGCAUGCGACUCUUGAUCUCAGGGUCAUGAGUUCAAACCCAUGUUGGGUA